AGAUGGUCACACCACUCAAUCAGGAGAGGAUCCCAGACGGAACGUGAAGAGCACAGCUCUAGAGAUUUGCCCUGACAGGAGGGAAGGGAGAGAGAAGGAAGAGAGAAGCAGGAUUUCUGCACUGAAAGGAGGAGCCCACUGGAUGGCUUCACCCAUUCCAACAAAUCGGAGUGAACUACCACUUUUACAAGCGGGGUGGCCUGCGGAAGGAGGUCAUAGGGUUCAUUCACUGCCCCAUGAAAACUGCAGAAACAUGCUUGAUGUGUGGGACACAGGGACACUAAGUGAGAACGCAGGCAGCCUCGUGUGAUCAUUAGAUUCCGCCUUCUAAGCAAAUCUGCUUUUCAAGGACGUAUUUUAUUUUACCUGUGUGCACGUCACACGACCUGCAACCCUCGACAGUCCCCAAAUGUGCCAGCUCCCUCCCCAUACGGUGGGGCUAUGCCAUACUCUAAGGCACCACUCAGGUCCCCCUGGCCUGCUCCUUUUUAACCUGAUACCCUGCACCGACAGUUUCCAUCGUCAGAAUUUCUGUUAAAAACUCUGUAGCCCACCUCGGGUGGGGGAGUGCUGAGUGCUGUGAACAGGAUUUAAAAUGCACAAGUAAAGAAAUUAAUAGAGGAAAAAUAACCAAAACUACAACAAAACCUUCCCCAGUCCUGAUCCUCCUGGGGAUAAAGUCCACCCUGAGAGUCUUCCUUCACUAAAGAGAUGCUGCACGUUAACCAGUUAGGACAACGGGGGAAAUCACUCGCCAAACAAAGUUACCACAAACCAGAAGCUGUAAGGACCGGGAACACAGAUGUAGGACAGGUGGGUCUGACCACGCCCUCAAUCGAGACAGAAAUGCUAUGUGGGUACGUAAAAGACCAACGAUUCAGAGAGAAAAUGGAGUUCUUACUUUCUGCGAAACAUUUCUGCAAAGAUGCAGCCGACACUCCAGAGGUCCACAGGGGUGGCAUAGCUGGACUGGAGCAGGACUUCUGGGGCUCGGUACCACAGCGUGACGACCUGCAAUAGCAAAGACACCUGAUUGUUACUGAGGAAGCCAGCUGUCGAGUUACACGCCCAUCUCGUGUGGCCCGAGGACAAGAUCUAGUUCAUACAGAACUAUAUCUCGUGGUAACAACACGACAGAGGCAAGAAGCGCACAGGACUCCACGGGCCAGGAAAUUACAUCAUCCCACACCCUGGGCUCCCAUUUCACUGUCUCAAUGGGACCAGGAUGGCACACAACACAGGUUUCAGAGAGCAAAG
This 1257-nucleotide long non-coding RNA is filed under the name Mus pahari (shrew mouse). RNAcentral describes it as "predicted gene, 17590 (MGP_PahariEiJ_G0002865.1)". The record is from RNAcentral. Lineage: Eukaryota; Metazoa; Chordata; Mammalia; Rodentia; Muridae.